Molecule: ribosomal RNA, 490 nt
Filed under: uncultured bacterium
Lineage: Bacteria
Description: partial 16S ribosomal RNA
Rfam family: Bacterial small subunit ribosomal RNA
Source: RNAcentral
AUUGAACGCUGGCGGCAUGCCUUACACAUGCAAGUCGAACGGCAGCAUGAUCUAGCUUGCUCGAUUGAUGGCGAGUGGCGAACGGGUGAGUAAUACAUCGGAACGUGCCCUGUAGUGGGGGAUAACUAGUCGAAAGAUUAGCUAAUACCGCAUACGACCUGAGGGUGAAAGUGGGGGACCGCAAGGCCUCAUGCUAUAGGAGCGGCCGAUGUCUGAUUAGCUAGUUGGUGAGGUAAAGGCUCACCAAGGCGACGAUCAGUAGCUGGUCUGAGAGGACGAUCAGCCACACUGGGACUGAGACACGGCCCAGACUCCUACGGGAGGCAGCAGUGGGGAAUUUUGGACAAUGGGCGAAAGCCUGUUCCAGCAAUGCCGCGUGUGUGAAGAAGGCCUUCGGGUUGUAAAGCACUUUUGUCCGGAAAGAAAUGGCUCUGGUUAAUACCUGGGGUCGAUGACGGUACCGGAAGAAUAAGGACCGGCUAACUACGUG